This is a long non-coding RNA of Oncorhynchus masou masou (cherry salmon), 858 nucleotides long. RefSeq lists it as uncharacterized. The record is from RefSeq and is a predicted model, not a curated record. The transcript has 4 exons. Lineage: Eukaryota; Metazoa; Chordata; Actinopteri; Salmoniformes; Salmonidae.
UUCUAACAUGCGAUGUUAGUAUGCUUAAACGAUAUCCGUUUUCUCAAAGAGGGCAAUGUUUGCUAACCUGGUAAUUCAAACCUACUGCUAAUGUAAAUAUUCACCUUGCCCAAACACCGGUCAUUCUUGUGACGGUGCGUCAGAAUAAAAUUCCCGAAUGGAAACUGGAGCUAGAGUUUAGAGUUCUGGUUGUGAAACACGGAACAAAGAAAUCUGAGACUGAAAAUCCGGAGUGGUGAGGAAUCAAGUGGUAGUAGACUUCACUGACCUCUUAAUAUAACCUCUAUGACUCAAUUCUGCUUCAUCUCCUCUCCGGCUCCAGCAGAUGUGGAUCCCCAUGGUGACAGGAGAAGAACACCAGAGACACUGCAGAUGGAUGAGUUACACAUCACAAAGAGUAGGAGACAGAAUGACAGACUGCAGGCGCCAUCUGGGAGCGAGAUGUGCAUUACAGGAGCUAUCCAUAUGGUCGGGGCAUCAUGACUUUGCUCAUCUCAUCUCCCGUCAACAUCUCUUCUGCUCAAGUCCUCUCUCAGAUGAUCCACAUACACAUUCUUAACAGAAAGACAAAGACAUGCUCGUGUUUCUGUAUUUUUGCAGAGAUUAUACAAAUUUACACAUAACAGCCGGUAUUUGAUUAAAAUGUUAAACUCAUGUCUUCAACACUCUUAAAAUGUACAUUUCCUCAUGAAUCGGGUGCUAUAGAUUAAGACUCUUCAUACAAUCUGAUUAUAGUACAUUUAUUAUAAUACAGAAUAUGAUUUGCCACCUCCAUAUCAUCCCCACCCCCAGUCGUUGUUUAGUGUCGGGAGCUGGGGGCUUUUUUAAACCCAUCUGCUGUCUCGCACCUUCUAAUAU